AGUGAACGCUGGCGGUAGGCCUAACACAUGCAAGUCGAACGGCAGCACAGUAAGAGCUUGCUCUUACGGGUGGCGAGUGGCGGACGGGUUAGGAAUACAUCGGAAUCUACUUUUUCGUGGGGGAUAACGUAGGGAAACUUACGCUAAUACCGCAUACGACCUACGGGUGAAAGCAGGGGAUCUUCGGACCUUGCGCGAUUGAAUGAGCCGAUGUCGGAUUAGCUAGUUGGCGGGGUAAAGGCCCACCAAGGCGACGAUCCGUAGCUGGUCUGAGAGGAUGAUCAGACACACUGGAACUGAGACACGGUCCAGACUCCUACGGGAGGCAGCAGUGGGGAAUAUUGGACAAUGGGCGAAAGCCUGAUCCAGCCAUACCGCGUGGGUGAAGAAGGCCUUCGGGUUGUAAAGCCCUUUUGUUGGGAAAGAAAAGCAGCAGGUUAAUACCCCGCUGUUCUGACGGUACCCAAAGAAUAAGCACCGGCUAACUUCGUG
Molecule: ribosomal RNA, 492 nt
Filed under: uncultured bacterium
Lineage: Bacteria
Description: partial 16S ribosomal RNA
Rfam family: Bacterial small subunit ribosomal RNA
Source: RNAcentral